RNAcentral lists this ribosomal RNA (253 nucleotides) under uncultured bacterium. RNAcentral's name for it is "partial 16S ribosomal RNA". It matches the Rfam family "Bacterial small subunit ribosomal RNA", at positions 524 to 776 of the family's 1533-position model. The record is from RNAcentral.
UACGUAGGGGGCAAGCGUUAGCCGGAAUUACUGGGUGUAAAGGGAGCGUAGACGGUAAUGUAAGUCUGGAGUGAAAGGCGGGGGCCCAACCCCCGGACUGCUCUGGAAACUAUGUUACUAGAGUGCAGGAGAGGUAAGCGGAAUUCCUAGUGUAGCGGUGAAAUGCGUAGAUAUUAGGAGGAACACCAGUGGCGAAGGCGGCUUACUGGACUGUAACUGACACUGAGGCUCGAAAGCGUGGGGAGCAAACAGG